RNAcentral lists this ribosomal RNA (63 nucleotides) under uncultured organism. Its description in RNAcentral is "partial 16S ribosomal RNA". The record is from RNAcentral.
UGGGCUUGACAUGUAGAGGAAACGCUCACGAAAGUGAGCGCCUCCCGCAAGGGAUCUCUACAC